CCUACGGGUGGCAGCAGUGGGGGAUAUUGCACAAUGGGGGGAACCCUGAUGCAGCGACGCCGCGUGGGUGAAGAAGCGCCUCGGCGCGUAAAGCCCUGUCAGCAGGGGAGCAAAUGACGGUACCUGAAGCAGAAGCGCCGGCUAACUACGUGCCAGCAGCCGCGGUAAUACGUAGGGGGCACGCGUUAUCCGGAUUUACUGGGGGUAAAGGGGGCGCAGACGGCGAUGCAGGCCAGGAGUGAAAGCGCGGGGGCCAACCCCGGGACUGCCCUUGGAACUGCGUGGCUGGAGUGCAGGAGGGGCAGGCGGAAUGCCUGGUGUAGCGGUGAAAUGCGUAGAUAUCAGGAGGAACACCGGUGGCGAAGGCGGCCUGCUGGACUGCAACUGACGUUGAGGCCCGAAAGCGUGGGGAGCGAACAGGAUUAGAUACCCCUGUAGUC
RNAcentral lists this ribosomal RNA (440 nucleotides) under uncultured bacterium. RNAcentral describes it as "partial 16S ribosomal RNA". It matches the Rfam family "Bacterial small subunit ribosomal RNA", at positions 338 to 795 of the family's 1533-position model. The record is from RNAcentral.